This 1439-nucleotide ribosomal RNA is filed under the name uncultured organism. Its description in RNAcentral is "SSU rRNA". It matches the Rfam family "Bacterial small subunit ribosomal RNA". The record is from RNAcentral.
UAGAGGCUUAACACAUGCAAGUCGAGGGGCAUCAGGAAGAAAGCUUGCUUUCUUUGCUGGCGACCGGCGCACGGGUGAGUAACACGUAUCCAACCUGCCCUUUACUCGGGGAUAGCCUUUCGAAAGAAAGAUUAAUACCCGAUAGCAUAAUGAUUCCGCAUGGUUUCAUUAUUAAAGGAUUCCGGUAAAGGAUGGGGAUGCGUUCCAUUAGGUUGUUGGUGAGGUAACGGCCCACCAAGCCUUCGAUGGAUAGGGGUUCUGAGAGGAAGGUCCCCCACAUUGGAACUGAGACACGGUCCAAACUCCUACGGGAGGCAGCAGUGAGGAAUAUUGGUCAAUGGGCGCUAGCCUGAACCAGCCAAGUAGCGUGAAGGAUGAAGGCUCUAUGGGUCGUAAACUUCUUUUAUAUAAGAAUAAAGUGCAGUAUGUAUACUGUUUUGUAUGUAUUAUAUGAAUAAGGAUCGGCUAACUCCGUGCCAGCAGCCGCGGUAAUACGGAGGAUCCGAGCGUUAUCCGGAUUUAUUGGGUUUAAAGGGAGCGUAGGUGGACUGGUAAGUCAGUUGUGAAAGUUUGCGGCUCAACCGUAAAAUUGCAGUUGAUACUGUCAGUCUUGAGUACAGUAGAGGUGGGCGGAAUUCGUGGUGUAGCGGUGAAAUGCUUAGAUAUCACGAAGAACUCCGAUUGCGAAGGCAGCUCACUGGACUGCAACUGACACUGAUGCUCGAAAGUGUGGGUAUCAAACAGGAUUAGAUACCCUGGUAGUCCACACAGUAAACGAUGAAUACUCGCUGUUUGCGAUAUACAGUAAGCGGCCAAGCGAAAGCAUUAAGUAUUCCACCUGGGGAGUACGCCGGCAACGGUGAAACUCAAAGGAAUUGACGGGGGCCCGCACAAGCGGAGGAACAUGUGGUUUAAUUCGAUGAUACGCGAGGAACCUUACCCGGGCUUAAAUUGCAGUGGAAUGAUGUGGAAACAUGUCAGUGAGCAAUCACCGCUGUGAAGGUGCUGCAUGGUUGUCGUCAGCUCGUGCCGUGAGGUGUCGGCUUAAGUGCCAUAACGAGCGCAACCCUUAUCUUUAGUUACUAACAGGUUAUGCUGAGGACUCUAGAGAGACUGCCGUCGUAAGAUGUGAGGAAGGUGGGGAUGACGUCAAAUCAGCACGGCCCUUACGUCCGGGGCUACACACGUGUUACAAUGGGGGGUACAGAAGGCAGCUAGCGGGUGACCGUAUGCUAAUCCCAAAAUCCUCUCUCAGUUCGGAUCGAAGUCUGCAACCCGACUUCGUGAAGCUGGAUUCGCUAGUAAUCGCGCAUCAGCCACGGCGCGGUGAAUACGUUCCCGGGCCUUGUACACACCGCCCGUCAAGCCAUGGGAGCCGGGGGUACCUGAAGUACGUAACCGCAAGGAUCGUCCUAGGGUAAAACUGGUGACUGGGGCUA